RNAcentral lists this non-coding RNA (114 nucleotides) under human gut metagenome. RNAcentral's name for it is "THF riboswitch". It matches the Rfam family "THF (Tetrahydrofolate) riboswitch aptamer". Rfam says of the family: THF riboswitch presents a pseudoknot that joins P1-P2 and the loop of P3 and two THF binding. The record is from RNAcentral.
GCAAAGUAGGAAUUGUUGCGUUGGAUAUUUCAUAUCCGCAGUGUAAAGAGGACGGGAAGUUGUCUCUUUAACGAAUAGGCGUUUGUCUUGCGAUAACAGUUUCGCAUUCCGUUG